This 497-nucleotide ribosomal RNA is filed under the name uncultured bacterium. Its description in RNAcentral is "partial 16S ribosomal RNA". It matches the Rfam family "Bacterial small subunit ribosomal RNA", at positions 28 to 507 of the family's 1533-position model. The record is from RNAcentral.
GACGAACGCUGGCGGCGUGCCUAAUACAUGCAAGUCGGACGCUGAAGAGAGGAGCUUGCUCCUCUUGGAUGAGUUGCGAACGGGUGAGUAACGCGUAGGUAACCUGCCUAGUAGCGGGGGAUAACUAUUGGAAACGAUAGCUAAUACCGCAUAACAAAGGAUGACACAUGUCUCUUAUUUGAAAGGGGCUAUUGCUCUACCACAAGAAGGACCUGCGUCGUAUUAGCCAGUUGGGGAGGUAACGGCUUUACUAAGCGACGGUACAUAGCCGGCCUGGGGGGGGGGAUGGGCACACUGGGACUGAGACACGGCCCAGGAUCCUACGGGAGGCAGGAGGAAGGGAUCCUCGGCAAUUGGGGGAACGCUUACCGGAGCACGGCGCGGUGAGUAAUGAGGUUUUCGGAUCGUAAAACUCUGUUGAUUAGGAAGAACGAAUGUGGGAGUUGAAAGUGCACGCUGUGACGGUAGCUUACCAGAAAGGGACGGCUAACUACGUG